AAUAUACUACCUCCGUUUCAAAAUUCUUGUCUUAGAUUUGUCUAAAUACGGAUGUAUCAAGUCAUAUUUUAGUAUUAGAUACAUCCGUAUCUAGAUAAAUUUAAGACAAGAAUUUUGGGAUGGAGGGAGUAUCUA
Molecule: non-coding RNA, 135 nt
Organism: Triticum urartu
Lineage: Eukaryota; Viridiplantae; Streptophyta; Magnoliopsida; Poales; Poaceae
Source: Rfam